Molecule: non-coding RNA, 45 nt
Organism: Schistosoma mattheei
Lineage: Eukaryota; Metazoa; Platyhelminthes; Trematoda; Strigeidida; Schistosomatidae
Source: Rfam
ACCCAGCUGACGAGUCUCGAGUUGGACGAAACGCGCGUCCUGGAU